This 167-nucleotide long non-coding RNA is filed under the name Canis lupus familiaris (dog). RNAcentral describes it as "lncRNA (ENSCAFG00040022847.1)". The record is from RNAcentral. Lineage: Eukaryota; Metazoa; Chordata; Mammalia; Carnivora; Canidae.
GAAGCCAAAGCAAACCAUAAGGAGCCACAAGCACUACCCCAAUGUAGCAUCUCUGGAAGGAAGUUUCACAUGGUAUUGAACAGAUAAUACCACACUUGCAGCUCAAAAGGUCCAGCAAAAAAGCAGUCUUUGAGGAAAAAGCAAAAUACUUAAGGUAAGGUGCAAAA